AUGAACGCUGGCGGCGUGCCUAAUACAUGCAAGUCGAGCGAACGGACGAGAAGCUUGCUUCUCUGAUGUUAGCGGCGGACGGGUGAGUAACACGUGGAUAACCUACCUAUAAGACUGGGAUAACUUCGGGAAACCGGAGCUAAUACCGGAUAAUAUUUUGAACCGCAUGGUUCAAAAGUGAAAGACGGUCUUGCUGUCACUUAUAGAUGGAUCCGCGCUGCAUUAGCUAGUUGGUAAGGUAACGGCUUACCAAGGCAACGAUGCAUAGCCGACCUGAGAGGGGGAUCGGCCACACUGGAACUGAGACACGGUCCAGACUCCUACGGUAGGCAGCAGUAGGGAAUCUUCCGCAAUGGGCGAAAGCCUGACGGAGCAACGCCGCGUGAGUGAUGAAGGUCUUCGGAUCGUAAAACUCUGUUAUUAGGGAAGAACAUAUGUGUAAGUAACUGUGCACAUCUUGACGGUACCUAAUCAGAAAGCCACGGCUAACUACGUG
Molecule: ribosomal RNA, 496 nt
Filed under: uncultured bacterium
Lineage: Bacteria
Description: partial 16S ribosomal RNA
Rfam family: Bacterial small subunit ribosomal RNA
Source: RNAcentral